CUCCUCUGUCACCGUCGCCCACCGUCUUGACACCCUUCUUUCUCGGUCUUGUCUAUCGGUGGUGCUUUCGCUCUUCGUGACAGCGGUGAUUCCUUGGCUCUCUCAAACGGAGGCUCGAAGGUUCUCGGUGCUUUCGCUUUUUGUGACAGCGGUGAUUCCUUGGCUCUCUCUAUCGGAGAUGAGUUAUAUAUCAGAUGGAGCUUCAAAAUCGAGUCGAAGAUCAAUUUGGAAGAAAGCCGAACCAAUUCCAAAAAAAGGUUUUCCACAGCUAUGUGAAUGCGGAGCAUCUAUUAUGAGGUUGACAUCUAAAACUGAAGCUAAUCCCGGCAGAGUUUUUUUUCGAUGUGCAACACAGGGAAAUCAAGGACACGUAUUCAAAUGGGCGGAUGAAGCAAUAUGCGAAGAAAUUGAGGACAUACGUAUCAAAAAUCAAAACAUCCUUCAUGUCGCGGAUAAAUUGAAGGCCGAAAUGGAGCUAUUGAAAGGAAUUGUAUAUAAAAUGUUGUUCGGCAUCGUGGUUUUAGUUGUGUUAUGUCUGUAUUAUUACGUUAUUAUUCGUAUUUAAAGGUUGUAUUAUGUUGUGGUUGAUGUUUUGGACAUGUAUGAUC
This is a long non-coding RNA of Tarenaya hassleriana, 608 nucleotides long. RefSeq lists it as uncharacterized. Lineage: Eukaryota; Viridiplantae; Streptophyta; Magnoliopsida; Brassicales; Cleomaceae. The record is from RefSeq and is a predicted model, not a curated record. The transcript has 3 exons.